This is a long non-coding RNA of Anolis sagrei ordinatus, 3048 nucleotides long. RefSeq lists it as uncharacterized. The record is from RefSeq and is a predicted model, not a curated record. NCBI's taxonomy places the organism in Eukaryota, Metazoa, Chordata, Lepidosauria, Squamata, Anolidae.
GGCGAAGGAGCCCUGGCCCGCCCCACCUGCGCGCACAGAGCCACGUGAACGGGAGCGGCCCCGGCGCGCGCCAGAGCGAGAGCAACGAGGCUGAGCCCUUGCUGGGGGAGGAAGAGGAGGAGGAGGAGGGGAGGAUGCUCCUGCUGAGACCUUGAGGAGGGGGCGCGAGAGAGGCGCCCAGGAAAGAAUAAAGGAAGCAGGAGACAAGUGAAGAGGAAGUGUGCCCAGCAGCGGAGCAGAAUAUACUUUGUUCGGGUUGUCCAAGAUUUGGCUGCAAAAAUUGCAAAUGUGAGAAUCUAAAGGUUCUUCCAGAUAUUUGGAGCCCAAAGAUGUUGAUGAUGAUGAAGAAGAUGAAGGAGAUGAAGGAGAAGGAAAGGAAGGAAAGGGAGGAGAAGGAGAGGAGAGAGAAGGAGAAGAGGGAAAAAGAGAAGCAGGAGAAACAGAAGCAGGCAAACCAAUUUUAGAAAAAUCCUCAACCAUAAAUAAUAAUCCCUAAAGCCUUUCUCAGCCCAUCCCAAAGAGCUUGCAAGAGCUUGUAGAUGCAUAUUGCAAUAUGCCAGGAAGAUUAGUAAACCAGAAUUCUAUUAUGCAAAGUGAAUUUGCAAAGCUGAAGCAAAUCACUGCAACUUGAUGCUGUGCCAGAUGCAUUUUGCAUCCUUUGUACCAUAUAACUAUUACUUUGUGCCAUUCCUGUCUGGCCCAGCACACACCAGUGUUCCUGCAUUUCCUUUCCAUUCCCACCAAAACAGUAUGUAUGUAUAGCUCUGAAUCUCCCAAGCUACUCUGCAAAUAUUCUGCUCAUCCCUCAAAACAGGUUCGUAAUUUGUAUGCAGUUUUUCAUUGUUUUGUCAGGAAUGAUAGAUCCAGUGAUUUAAAGUUAUUCAAAUUGGACAUCCCCGUAAGCCUGCCAAAUCAAAGGGGUUAAAAAAUACAGAUUAUGUAGUCCAUGAUAAAUAAUAUUGAGUAAUUUGGUAUUGAUUGAAUACUCUUAACAGUAGUCUGGAUCCAUGUUCUUCCUGUCAAAAACUUUCUACACUGCUUUACGCAUGAUCAAUUUGGGUACCCAUUUGGAGAAGUGUGGGGUGCAUAGAAAUAUAGUAUCUAUAAUUUAAUUAUGAAAAUUGUGUAUAUGCUUCAUGUUACUGUCCUAGGCUGACAUUCACUUCCAUCAGGACAUUCCAGUAUUUCUUGUGCCUUGGUGCACGUACAGUAGCCAAGCUCCUGUAUAGCACAGCCUAGCAUGACAGCUCUGCAUAUGGGACUAUGGUAGAGGUCAACAUCCCAUGGACUUACCAUUGAACCAUUACUACUCCCCAUAUGCAUGUAACCAUCCUGGGCUGAUGGUAAGCAGGGGUGGAUUGCCUCCAUUUGGUUAUGUCUCUAAAGCCAGAUGUAGAGAGAUUACAUCAUUGCUGGGAUCCUUCACAGAUCUCAGCAUAUGAUAUGAUCAUUUUGUGUCUGGCUGUGGAGACAUAACCAGACAUUCCUUCAGAUUCCACCAGCAGCUGCUGUGGAAUGGCCCUCGGCCUGCAGCAGCUCAAAUGUACAUCUAGAGUGGGGAAGCUUUGUUCAUUGUGAAGGACAGAAGGAAAUGCCUGCCUCCAUGAUGAUCCCACCCUGGAGAAGUACUUGGGUGCAAGCUGGGCUUGUGUCUGAGUAUGCCACUAACGAGAUGCCAGCCAGUAUGUGUACUACAGCACAUGUGAAAUGUGCACACUUUUGAAUUAUACAUAAUGUCUACUGCAUCUAAUUUUCUCCAGAGAAGUGAUAUUCAUGUAGGAAAAUUGUCCUUUAGAGGGAAGUGAAAUGCUGACUCAAAAGGGAAACAAGAGUGGCUAGAUGUUUACAGACCUAUUAUUAUUAUUAAGCUUUUUAAAAAUUGUUUUGUAUUGUCUUUUAUAUUGCUUUUAUUUUUAAUACAAACUGCCUAAAUAUUUUAAUACAUGAAAAAGCCUAAAAAGCCAAUGUGGUGCCAUGAUUUGUGUGUUGGAUUAGGACUCCAGGAGACCAGAGUUUGAAUUCCCACUCAAUUCUAGAAACCCUCUGGGUGACCUAGGGCAAGUUACAUUCUCCCCACCUCAGAGGAAAUCUGUGGCAAAACCUCUCUGAACAAAGCUUAUCAAGAAAACUCCAUGAUAAGGUUGCCUUAGGGUCACCAUAGGUUGGAAGCAAGUUGGAGGCACGUAACAUAUUAAUGCCCUAAAUAAUAUUGAACCACAACAUUUCCGCUGCUUUACACCAUUUCUCAUAUAUGACAACUCCCCACAGGCAUUCAGCUUAAAGCAGUGCAUGAUGUAUAGACCCCAACAUGAGUAGACUAACCAGUUUUUGUACUGUGUUUUUGUUGCUGUUCUUUUCCUAGUUGUUUAAACACAUACACCAAGAUUCCAGUAAAAGCCAAGAAGACAUAUUGAAGAUCUCAAGCAUCCAUUGUUUGCUUGAAGUGAUCCUGGGUAUGUAAUCCUUAAGAAGUACCUUGCUGGAACAAACCCAGAUCCAUCAGGUUCAGAACUAUUCAAGGAUUUUCAGACAGAGUUGCUACCUCUCAAAAUUUUCCAAAGAAUUAGUUAUGUGAGUGUCUUGUAAAUUCUCUAAGAGCAUCCCCUUCCAAAAUAGGGAUACUGUGAUAGAAAAUGGGUUUCCUGAGAGUGCCUUUCCUUUUAAAGUCAGGGGAAACACAAUUUGAGUACCUUUUAUGGAUUAAAACUGCCAAAGCAUCUUCUGGUUAAAGGAAAGGAAACCCUCACCUCCAUCUCUUUCCACAGAGCAUUUAAAACAACUCCAUGACCUUUUGAUUUCUGAUCGUAAGAGGAGGGUGGGAAGAACUGCCAGCCAAAUUGGCUUUUUUUAUUAGUAGUGUCACAGCUGAGAGACAUUUUGCUGAAACUGUUUUACUUGCUGUAACCGAUUGUUUACUGAUGUGUUCAAUGUCACUUGCUCUUACAUUUUCAAGUAUCAUUUUGUAUUUACUUGGUUUUGUUAUUGUUAACUACUUUACCCAUCACUUCAUGGGAUACAAAUUUCACAAAUAAAAUGUUUUCAAACCAA